RNAcentral lists this small nucleolar RNA (134 nucleotides) under Tetrahymena malaccensis 436. Its description in RNAcentral is "Tetrahymena snoRNA TtnuHACA14". It matches the Rfam family "Tetrahymena snoRNA TtnuHACA14". The record is from Rfam by way of RNAcentral. Lineage: Eukaryota; Ciliophora; Oligohymenophorea; Hymenostomatida; Tetrahymenidae.
CAAGCGAAGACUACUCAUAGUUUGUUCAGACUAGUUCUGUAUAAGCAAAACAGUUUUCGCAAAAUCAGCCUGAGUUUCUUACUACCCAUUUAGCACUUAUAUUGCUGAAAGGUAAUUUCCGAAUUCAGACAUUA